RNAcentral lists this long non-coding RNA (397 nucleotides) under Penaeus chinensis. RNAcentral describes it as "uncharacterized LOC125040287". Lineage: Eukaryota; Metazoa; Arthropoda; Malacostraca; Decapoda; Penaeidae. The record is from RNAcentral.
GGUGGCAACUCGCACAAGACCCCUAGACCCUCGUAGUAUAAAUACCUCGAACGAAACCCGAGGAAAGAGCAUAGAUUCGCAGCCAAGAAAUGAUGCUGUAUAAAAUAAUGAUUCUUCAUCUCCUCGCGAUGUUGUUUAUCGCCAGUCACCCAGUCACCCAGUCCUUAUUGGAUCCUCGAUAGGACACGAGACAGACAACUAUUGUGGAAAACACAAGGCAAGAUUUCUACGCCGGUGUACGAGCAUUGGUAUGAUGUUACUCUUCACUGAAGACCUGAUUGUCACUGCAGUACACAUGGAUAGAGUUUCACAUCCUGAUGAGAAAUAGAUGUAUAUGUUUUCCAUCUUUUACCAAGCAGAGUGGCAAAGAGGUAAAUAAAACAAUUUCCUCUUAACA